GGUGUCCUGCCUCUUAGACUGUAAACCUAGUUUACCUACGGGUUCCACUAAAGUAACCUGAACCUGAUUAUUAAUAAGAACACACAUCGGUUGUUU
Molecule: long non-coding RNA, 96 nt
Organism: Etheostoma cragini (Arkansas darter)
Lineage: Eukaryota; Metazoa; Chordata; Actinopteri; Perciformes; Percidae
Exons: 3
Source: RefSeq, a predicted model, not a curated record